RNAcentral lists this ribosomal RNA (490 nucleotides) under uncultured bacterium. RNAcentral describes it as "partial 16S ribosomal RNA". It matches the Rfam family "Bacterial small subunit ribosomal RNA", at positions 30 to 507 of the family's 1533-position model. The record is from RNAcentral.
AUUGAACGCUGGCGGCAGGCCUAACACAUGCAAGUCGAACGGUAACAGGAAGAAGCUUGCUUCUUUGCUGACGAGUGGCGGACGGGUGAGUAAUGUCUGGGAAACCGCCUGAUGGAGGGGGAUAACUACUGGAAACGGUAGCUAAUACCGCAUAACGUCGCAAGACCAAAGAGGGGGACCUUCGGGCCUCUUGCCAUCGGAUGUGCCCAGAUGGGAUUAGCUAGUAGGUGGGGUAACGGCUCACCUAGGCGACGAUCCCUAGCUGGUCUGAGAGGAUGACCAGCCACACUGGAACUGAGACACGGUCCAGACUCCUACGGGAGGCAGCAGUGGGGAAUAUUGCACAAUGGGCGCAAGCCUGAUGCAGCCAUGCCGCGUGUAUGAAGAAGGCCUUCGGGUUGUGAAGUACUUUCAGCGGGGAGGAAGGGAGUAAAGUUAAUACCUUUACUCAUUGACGUUACCCGCAGAAGAAGCACCGGCUAACUCCGUG